GAUGAACGCUGGCGGCGUGCUUAACACAUGCAAGUCGAACGAGAAAUGUAGACGGAAUCCUUCGGGCGGAAGCCUUCAUUUCGAGUGGCGGAAGGGUGAGUAAAGCGUGGGUAACCUGCCUCAUAAAGGGGGAUAACAGUUGGAAACAACUGAUAAUACCGCAUAAGACCACAGCAUCGCAUGAUGCGGGGGCAACAACUCCGAUGGUAUGAGGUGGACCCGCGAUCGAUUAGCAGGUUGGCGGGGUAACGGCCCACCAAAGCGACGAUCGAUAGCCGGUCUGGGAGGAUGGCCCACCACAUUGCGGGAGGGACACGGCGCGAACUCCUAGGGAAGGCAGCAGUGGGGAAUGUUGCACGAUGGGGGAGAGCCUGAUGCAGCGACGCCGCGUGAGUGAGGUAGUAGUGCGGUAUGUAAAGCUCUAUAAGAAGGGGAGGAAAUGACGGUACCUGAGUAAGAAGCCCCGGCUAACUACGUG
This 478-nucleotide ribosomal RNA is filed under the name uncultured bacterium. RNAcentral describes it as "partial 16S ribosomal RNA". It matches the Rfam family "Bacterial small subunit ribosomal RNA", at positions 28 to 507 of the family's 1533-position model. The record is from RNAcentral.